Molecule: long non-coding RNA, 936 nt
Filed under: Homo sapiens (human)
Lineage: Eukaryota; Metazoa; Chordata; Mammalia; Primates; Hominidae
Description: HSALNT0403490
Source: RNAcentral
CUAAGGUUCUAGUUAAAGCCUACAUUAUGCAUUGAGGUGUUUCUACCAUUCAAAGAGAUAGUUCAGUUUGUGGUUGGAUUACAUACGAUCCAGUUAUUGAUGGUGCUUUCCUGGAGGUGACUGAGGAAAUGAUUGGUUCAUUUUUGCAGAAAUCAGUAUAUGAGGCAGUGUCUGGAUCUUCUAAACUCCAGUUGAUUCCUGUGGACCAUGAAGUUUGGGUCAGGAUCUAGAACCUCUGGAGUUGGAGAUGCAGCCAUUCUGCUCAUGGAGAAGAGAGACUAGGUUUUCUAUAAUACCACCAAGUAGUUCAUCUGAUGGGUGGACAAAUACAUUGAUUCAGCCUCAAACCCACAAUUUCUGCUUGAAAGAAGAUGUGUGAUAUUGUUUGGCUAUGUCCCCACCCAAAUCUCACCUUAAAUUGUAAUAAUUCCCAUGUGUCAAGGGUGGGGGCCAGGUGGAGACAAUUGAAUCAUGGGGAUGUUUCCCAUAUACUGUUCUCAUGGUAGUGAGUAAUUCUCACUAGAUCUGAUGGUUUUAUAAAUGGGAGUUCCCCUGCACAAGCUCCAUUGCCUGCUGCCAUGUAAGGUGUGGCUUUGCUCACUCAUUACCUUCCACCAUGAUUGUGAGGCCUCCUCAGUGAUGUGGAACUGUUCAGCAGCCAGAGUCCUAUCCUGUACUUCUCUUCACGUUGCAGACAUCCACGAAAGAGUGAGACUGUUUUCGGUUGGAUUGAAGAGCAAAUGUGUGGAAGGCACCAAGAGACAGGAUCUCACUAUGUUUCCCAAGUUGGUCUUGAACUUCUGGCCUCAAGCAAUUCUCUUGCCUUGGCCUCCCAAAAUUCUGGAAUUAUAGGCAUGAGUCACCAGAAACGGCCCACUUUAUUUACUUCUGUGAUGCCUAUACAUUGUGUUAUCAAUAAAACUUGAGAUUCUGUAA